RNAcentral lists this ribosomal RNA (524 nucleotides) under uncultured archaeon. RNAcentral's name for it is "bacterial SSU rRNA". It matches the Rfam family "Archaeal small subunit ribosomal RNA", at positions 325 to 849 of the family's 1478-position model. The record is from RNAcentral.
ACGGGGUGCAGCAGGCGCGAAAACUGGCCAAUGCGCGAAAGCGUGAGCCGGCUAGUCCGAGUGAUAGCCCAUCGGCUAUCUUUUGUUAAGUGUACAAAGCUUGGCGAAUAAUGAGAGGGCAAGACUGGUGCCAGCCGCCGCGGUAAAACCAGCUCUUAGAGUGGUGAUCAUGUUUAUUUGGCUUAAAGUGUGCGUAGCAGGACAGCGUAAGUCCCCCUGUGAAAUGCUGAGUCUUAAGCUCAGCGCGUGCCGGGGAUACUGUGCGUCUUGGGACCGGGAUAGGUGUAAUGUACGCGUUGGGUAGGGGUGAAAUCCGAUAAUCCAACGCGGACAACCGGUGGCGAAGGCGUUACACUGGAACGGGUCCGACUGUGAGGCACGAAAGCUAGGGUCGCGAGCCGGAUUAGAUACCCGGGUAGUCCUAUGCUGUAAACGAUGCUCACUAAGUGUUAGGUAAUGCAAGACAUUAUCUAGUGCCGAAGCGAAAGCGUUAAGUGAGCCGCCUGGAAGUACGUUCGCAAGAA